This 504-nucleotide ribosomal RNA is filed under the name uncultured bacterium. RNAcentral's name for it is "partial 16S ribosomal RNA". It matches the Rfam family "Bacterial small subunit ribosomal RNA", at positions 29 to 523 of the family's 1533-position model. The record is from RNAcentral.
AGUGAACGCUGGCGGCAGGCCUAACACAUGCAAGUCGAACGGUAGCACAGAGAGCUUGCUCUCGGGUGACGAGUGGCGGACGGGUGAGUAAUGUCUGGGAAACUGCCCGAUGGAGGGGGAUAACUACUGGAAACGGUAGCUAAUACCGCAUAACGUCGCAAGACCAAAGUGGGGGACCUCCGGGCCUCACACCAUCGGAUGUGCCCAGAUGGGAUUAGCUAGUAGGUGGGGUAAUGGCUCACCUAGGCGACGAUCCCUAGCUGGUCUGAGAGGAUGACCAGCCACACUGGAACUGGGACACGGUCCAGACUCCUACGGGAGGCAGCAGUGGGGAAUAUUGCACAAUGGGCGCAAGCCUGAUGCAGCCAUGCCGCGUGUAUGAAGAAGGCCUUCGGGUUGUAAAGUACUUUCAGCGGGGAGGAAGGCGGUGAAGUUAAUAACUUCACCGAUUGACGUUACCCGCAGAAGAAGCACCGGCUAACUCCGUGCCAGCCGCCGCGGUAA